AGCGAACGCUGGCGGCAGGCUUAACACAUGCAAGUCGAGCGGGCGUAGCAAUACGUCAGCGGCAGACGGGUGAGUAACGCGUGGGAACGUACCUUUUGGUUCGGAACAACACAGGGAAACUUGUGCUAAUACCGGAUAAGCCUUUACGGGGAAAGAUUUAUCGCCGAAAGAUCGGCCCGCGUCUGAUUAGCUAGUUGGUGAGGUAACGGCUCACCAAGGCGACGAUCAGUAGCUGGUCUGAGAGGAUGAUCAGCCACAUUGGGACUGAGACACGGCCCAAACUCCUACGGGAGGCAGCAGUGGGGAAUAUUGGACAAUGGGCGCAAGCCUGAUCCAGCCAUGCCGCGUGAGUGAUGAAGGCCCUAGGGUUGUAAAGCUCUUUUGUGCGGGAAGAUAAUGACGGUACCGCAAGAAUAAGCCCCGGCUAACUUCGUGCCAGCCGCCGCAGUAA
Molecule: ribosomal RNA, 451 nt
Filed under: uncultured bacterium
Lineage: Bacteria
Description: partial 16S ribosomal RNA
Rfam family: Bacterial small subunit ribosomal RNA
Source: RNAcentral